CGACGCUCAGCACGACCGGCCCGGUGCAUGCCGUCUUCAAUGCGGCAUCUCGGGCGUUCAACACCCCGGCGCUCA
Molecule: transfer RNA, 75 nt
Filed under: Mycobacterium tuberculosis
Lineage: Bacteria; Bacillati; Actinomycetota; Actinomycetes; Mycobacteriales; Mycobacteriaceae
Description: tRNA-seC(tca)
Source: RNAcentral